RNAcentral lists this ribosomal RNA (1042 nucleotides) under Pristimantis ujucami (Ujukam rain frog). RNAcentral describes it as "Pristimantis sp. u DZ-2021 partial large subunit ribosomal RNA". It matches the Rfam family "Bacterial large subunit ribosomal RNA", at positions 857 to 2599 of the family's 2925-position model. The record is from RNAcentral. Lineage: Eukaryota; Metazoa; Chordata; Amphibia; Anura; Strabomantidae.
UCAAGAAAAGAAUCUUAGUCCAACCUAAAGUAUACCCGAAUCAUCCAAUUUCCUACACCUUUAGAGCAAUUCAAAUGAGGUACAGCCCAUUUGAUCCAGGAUACAACCUUCCAUAAUGGGUAAUAUUCAACUUCACCACCCCAAGUAGGCUUAAUGGCAGCCACCUUUUAAAAAGCGUCAAAGCUUAAUCCAACUUUACUAAUUUAAAAAAUUAUAUCAACCCCUUUAAUCAUAUUGAGAACUUCUAUAACUCUAUAGAACCUUUUAUGCUAAAACUAGUAACAAGGGGUAAACCCCCCUCCUAAAUGCAAGUGUAAGCCAACAAGAACCCACCAUUGGCAACUAACAGAUACAAAGUAGCAACUCCCACUAGAAAACCCUGCCCAACCCCCUGUUAACCUAACACAAGAUCAUUUCAAGAAAGAUUAAAAGAAAAAAAAGGAACUCGGCAAAUCCUAGCCCCGCCUGUUUACCAAAAACAUCGCCUCUUGCCCACAUAAGAGGUCCAGCCUGCCCAGUGACCCCGUUCAACGGCCGCGGUAUCCUAACCGUGCGAAGGUAGCGUAAUCACUUGUCUUCCAAAUAAAGACUAGUAUGAAAGGCACCACGAGGGCUAAACUGUCUCCUCUUUCUAAUCCGUGAACCUAAUCUCCCCGUGAAGAAGCGGGGAUUAUAUUAUAAGACGAGAAGACCCUAUGGAGCUUUAAACACCCUACACCUGCCACUACCUCAAAUACCCAGGUAUCCUCACUCAAUGGCAUCCUGUUCACAUGUUUUUGGUUGGGGCGACCAUGGAGAAAAACUCAUCCUCCAUAAUGAAGGGAUCUCCCACAAACAAUAAGUCACAACUUUACGUAUCAAUAAAUUGACACCCAUUGACCCAAUAAAUUGAUUAAUGAACCAAGUUACCCUAGGGAUAACAGCACAAUCCACUUUGAGAGUUCCUAUCGACAAGUGGGCUUAUGACCUCGAUGUUGGAUCGGGGUAUCCCAGUGGUGCAGCCGCUACUAAAGGUUCGUUUGUUCAACGAUUUAAACCCCAC